GGUGAACGCUGGCGGCAUGCCUAACACAUGCAAGUCGAACGGAAGGACAGUAAGAGCUUGUUUCUGAGGGUGGCGGGGGGCGGACGGGUGAGGCAUGGAUCGGCAUCCUAUUUUUCGGGGGGGAUAACGGGAGGACAGGUAUGGUACCAGCUGAUACUAUGUACGGGUGAGAGCAGGGGAGCUUCGGACCCUGCCUGAUAGUAUUAGCUGAUGUUGGAUUAGCUAGUUGGCUGGGUAAAGGCCCACCAAGGCGACGAUACGUAGCCGAGCUGAGAGGAUGAUCGGCCACACUGGAACUGAGACACGGUCCAGACCCCUACGGGAGGCAGCAGUAGGGAAUCUUCGGCAAUGGGCGCAAGCCUGAUGCAGCCAUGCCGCGUGAGUGAAGAAGGCCUUCGGGUUGUAAAGCCCUUUUAUUAGGGAAGAAAAGCUGCGUGAGUACCCCCCGCCAUUCUGACGGUACCCAAAGAAAAAGCCCCGGCUAACUUCGUG
This 492-nucleotide ribosomal RNA is filed under the name uncultured bacterium. RNAcentral's name for it is "partial 16S ribosomal RNA". It matches the Rfam family "Bacterial small subunit ribosomal RNA", at positions 28 to 507 of the family's 1533-position model. The record is from RNAcentral.